Molecule: long non-coding RNA, 2535 nt
Filed under: Homo sapiens (human)
Lineage: Eukaryota; Metazoa; Chordata; Mammalia; Primates; Hominidae
Description: HSALNT0163999
Source: RNAcentral
UCUCAGGUUUUUUUUUUUUUUUUUUUAACCCCUUUAGGUGGGACAGGAUGGCUACAGGGGCCUGGAUUUGGGUAUUUGCCUUCCCUCAGGUUUGUUAGGAUCUGAUAAAAUCCUAGUAGGGUUAGGCUUUGGUAAAAUAGUUUCUCUUGAGGACAGGCCUUGUUAAGAAGAACAGAAUGUUCUGGAGUAUUUCAAAAUUACACCUUUACUUUACUAUUCCUCUCCCUCUUACCAUUACUUUUCCCUCUUCCUGCUGGAAGCCCAAGGAGAUUUUUCUCUGAUGUUCACUGUGAGAACUCGGAGGAACUCCUGGAGGUAAAGUGUAGGCAUCCCCCUUGCAAGUGGGCCCUCCUGGAGCUUUAACUCCCAGACUUGUCCACACGGAGCCUCCAGCAAUUCAUCAACUACAGUUCAGGUUUUUCUAGCCUGGUAUUUGUUCCUGCACAGAUUUCUUUUUAUGAGUUUCUGCUCCUGUAAGUUGAUUCUCUGUAUCCUCCUGUCUAGGACUACUGGUUUGCUCUGCAAAUUUAAUUUUCUAACAAAUCUAAGAAGAGGUACUGAUUUUUGUUUUGUCAAGUUUUAACUUGUUAGGACAGAGUGAUGACUCCUAAGGUCCUUAUGUGCUAGAUGGGGCAAGCUUCUUUUUAUUUCAAAGGCUUUUCUAAUUUUCUCUUAAGGCAUUAUACAUUGUGAUUACUUGCUCUUGUGUUCCUUAUAGUAUAAUAUUUAUUCUUGAAUAAUGUAUUUUAAAAUUUGAAUUCUUUGCUGAAUUGCGUCACUUCAAUUUUUUUUAUCUUUUUGUUUUUCUCUUUUCUCAAAUAGGAAGUACUGUCAUUCUGACAGCAGGUUCACCCAAAGGGUACACCUUGACUUUGUAAUAGUAUCCCUGACUGUUCUGUUAAAUUUCAAAAUGAGAAAACUCUUUUUCGUCUAUUGACAGAUAAUGUGCACCCAAAUUAAGUGUGAGUGGGGGUCUGACUGUAUGUCUAAAGUGUACAGGCAGAGAUGAAUGUGUGUGGCUUUAGCAGAUCCACACUCAUCCAGGGAUAACUGGACCAUGGGGGCAGGGUGGGAGUGGAGAGAAGUCAUCAUAGGAUGGUAAUCAGGUGCUUGCAGGGAGAAGAGAAGGAAAAGCAGAUGAGUGAACAAGGGCAGAUGGUGCUGGAGAAUUCCAUCAAGUGGGCAUCAAGAAGGGACUGGAGGUUAAAACCUUUGGGAUAAAGAAGAAGAAAAAAAGACAAGCUGGUAAAAAGUAAGGUCUGGGGGGUGGAGGCAAGAAGGGGAGUUGCUAAAAACUCUAGAAUAAGCAGUAAGACAUCUUUCAAUAAAACUGCCCCUUCCCAGAUGGCACCUGGGCACUGUUUGCUGGGCACAAACAUGGCACUGUUUCCUAGGAGAUGAUUCCUCCAGUUCUUUAAGGUAGUAAUGAAUGACAACAAGAAGUUACUUCUCUAUGCUACACACGGUGUAGAAUCCAGAGCCUGACUGGCUGUGACGCGCCCAUGGUGACACCAAGGGGACUCUGCAUGGGCACAUCCCGGCCCUCCUCCCUGCAUGUUCUCCAAGCCAGGUCUUUGAAACCUCCAGUGAUGGGAAUGACAGAAUCUGGGAUGAUUUUCUUCUGUUUCUUAUCUAAAAAAACAACAAAAAGCUCAGCAUACACGGACUCACACAAACCUUUUGCUAGAGGCAGCUCUGUAGACUUAAGACGCUGUCAUUUUUCAGAAGAACCCAGCUUGCUUUGGAACUACAGUCAGCCCUGCAACCCACCCUCACCUUGGACCCUGCUGCUGCUGUCUGUAAAGGGUCUGGAUGAAGGAAGGGAGCCUCCAGCUUGUCGGCUGUACUUGCCCAGAAUUUAGCCUUUGCAACAUGGAGCUGCGGGGAUGGGAAAUGUUGUCCACUAGCCUUCCACAAUGCUGCGAUGAAUACACCUGUGCAUUCUUUUUUAGAACAAGUGUAAGAAUUCCUAUGUGCAGCUGGAAAAGUGCUGACCAGAGCAUUGUUGAAGGCCGUAUAGUAAGAAUGGCAAAGCUUCCCUACCAGCCCAACUGACUGUUUUGUGGUGCAGAGGCCAUCUAUUAUGUGAGAGAGAGCAAUAAAUAUAUAUAUAUAUAUUUUUCUAAGAGACUGGAGUCUCACUAUGUUGCCCAGGCUGGCCUUGAACUCCUGGCCUAAAGCAAUCCUCCCACCUCAGUCUUCCAAGUAGCUGGGACUACAAGUGUGUGCCACCAUGCCCAGCUCUAUAAACGUCUAUUUUUAUUGAGUCCCUAUGUGAGAUCAUUUUCUUGUAGCAGCUUACAUUCUGUACUAAAUUAUACAUGCAAUUUUUCAAAUGUAUUGGACAUUUACACUUUUUCUUCCAUGAUUUGCUUGUUCAAACCAUUUGCUUGUUUUCCAGUUAGGUUUUGCUUUUUACAUAUUUUAAUGGGUAUUCUUCGAAUAUUUUGGAAAUUUCUCCUUUGUUAAAAUGUUAUACCUCCCUCUCCCUCUCCCUCUCCCUCUCCCUCUCCCUCUCCCUCUCCGUCUCCCUCC